RNAcentral lists this ribosomal RNA (880 nucleotides) under Globorotalia truncatulinoides. RNAcentral describes it as "bacterial SSU rRNA". The stretch from base 22 to 528 matches the Rfam family "Eukaryotic small subunit ribosomal RNA", at positions 1178 to 1501 of the family's 1831-position model. The record is from RNAcentral. Lineage: Eukaryota; Foraminifera; Rotaliida; Globorotaliidae.
AAGGGCACCACAAGAACGCGUGGAGCAUGUGGCUUAAUUUGACUCAACGCGGGGAAUCUUACCGGGUCCGGACACACUGAGGAUUGACAGACGGUUAUUGACUUAUACUCGCUUAAUGGCUUUAAGCUGUUAAGUGUUUAACACCUUUACACAAAGAUGCUAGUCCUUUCAUGAUCGUUUGAUAGGUGGUGCAUGGCCGUUCUUAGUUCGUGGAGUGAUCUGUCUGCCUAAUUGCGUUUCACUAAGGUCCCAUUCUUCAUACGUAUGAAUAGCGUCUUAACUCACUUUUACCGCUACCUAUUUGUAGUAAGCGCUCAUACUAUUGGGACCGGAAUGCAACGAGCGCGACUGCACCACCUAAUUGCCCCUUAUCUACCAUUAAUUACUUUAUUAACCGCCCUGUACGGGCACCGGGGCCUUACCUUUACUGAAACUAGCUGGACCGCUGCUUUCCUUUAAGCCAGAGGAAGGUUGCGGCAAUAACAGGUCUGUGAUGCCCUCAGAUGUUCCGGGCCGCACACGUGCUACAAUGAUCAGCACAAAGAGUAUUACCUAUCUUCUUAUACCUAACCCAAUAUGUUAAACUUAUUGCGUAAGGGUAUUGUCUUAACGACUUAUCCGCUUUAGCGCUUUAAGAUUAUUGGACGGUUAUGCCUGCCUCGAAAGAGUGUACAGGGCAGCAAGAGUAAUGAUUCCCUCGUUUUUACUACUAAUACCGCGCUUGGUAACAUAUUACACUCGAUUAAGUAGGGUCUUUGCUUCUAAUAGCAAUUGCUAUCCUCACCCUUAGGCUCUAAGGAUAUUACUAUCUCUAAGGUCUACAGGGAGGUGUAUAUGGCGCACUUACUUAUUCACGGUGGGGACAGACCAUUGUUAACUG